Molecule: small nucleolar RNA, 131 nt
Organism: Meriones unguiculatus (Mongolian gerbil)
Lineage: Eukaryota; Metazoa; Chordata; Mammalia; Rodentia; Muridae
Source: Ensembl
CCUGCCCCUUGAGGGGGUGCCGGUGUGGGUGCUGUGUCACAUGGGUGCCAGUAGAUGACAGAGAGGGGAGAGGCUAUGUCAAUGCUCAGUGUUCUGACCUUUGAACACCCAGUGAUUAGUAGCCCAACACU